AACGCUAGCUACAGGCUUAACACAUGCAAGUCGAGGGGCAGCGGGGGCGAAAGCUUGCUUUCGCCUGCCGGCGACCGGCGCACGGGUGAGUAACACGUAUGCAACCUGCCCGCAGCAGGGGGAUAAGCCGGAGAAAUCCGGUCUAAUACCGCGUAACACCCUGAGGGGACAUCCUCUUGGGGUCAAAGGAGCAAUCCGGCUGCGGAUGGGCAUGCGUCGCAUUAGGCAGUUGGCGGGGUAACGGCCCACCAAACCGACGAUGCGUAGGGGUUCUGAGAGGAAGGUCCCCCACAUUGGAACUGAGACACGGUCCAAACUCCUACGGGAGGCAGCAGUGAGGAAUAUUGGUCAAUGGGCGAGAGCCUGAACCAGCCAAGUAGCGUGCAGGACGACGGCCCUAUGGGUUGUAAACUGCUUUUAUAAGGGAAUAAAGUGAGUCUCGUGAGACUUUUUGCAUGUACCUUAUGAAUAAGGACCGGCUAAUUCCGUGCCAGCAGCCGCGGUAAUACGGAAGGUCCGGGCGUUAUCCGGAUUUAUUGGGUUUAAAGGGAGCGUAGGCCGGAGAUUAAGCGUGUUGUGAAAUGUAGACGCUCAACGUCUGCACUGCAGCGCGGACUGGUUUCCUUGAGUACGCACAAAGUGGGCGGAAUUCGUGGUGUAGCGGUGAAAUGCUUAGAUAUCACGAAGAACUCCGAUUG
RNAcentral lists this ribosomal RNA (698 nucleotides) under uncultured bacterium. Its description in RNAcentral is "bacterial SSU rRNA". It matches the Rfam family "Bacterial small subunit ribosomal RNA", at positions 32 to 715 of the family's 1533-position model. The record is from RNAcentral.